This 253-nucleotide ribosomal RNA is filed under the name uncultured bacterium. RNAcentral's name for it is "partial 16S ribosomal RNA". It matches the Rfam family "Bacterial small subunit ribosomal RNA", at positions 524 to 776 of the family's 1533-position model. The record is from RNAcentral.
UACGUAGGGGGCAAGCGUUGUCCGGAAUCAUUGGGCGUAAAGCGCGUGUAGGCGGUUCGGUAAGUCUGCUGUGAAAGUCCAGGGCUCAACCCUGGGAUGCCGGUGGAUACUGUCGGACUAGAGUGCGGAAGAGGCGAGUGGAAUUCCCGGUGUAGCGGUGAAAUGCGCAGAUAUCAGGAGGAACACCGAUGGCGAAGGCAGGUCUCUGGGCCACUACUGACGCUGAGAAGCGAAAGCAUGGGGAGCGAACAGG